Long non-coding RNA from Chinchilla lanigera (long-tailed chinchilla), 1402 nucleotides. RefSeq lists it as uncharacterized. The record is from RefSeq and is a predicted model, not a curated record. The transcript has 4 exons. Lineage: Eukaryota; Metazoa; Chordata; Mammalia; Rodentia; Chinchillidae.
GGACGCUCAUGGCCCAGGCUCGCUGGAUGGCUGCAGGCGAGCAGGCGAGAGAGAAGGGUGUCUUAGCUGUGCCCACAAGGUCAGACAUUUCAGACUACUCUGGUGACUUUCCCAAAGUGAGACAGUGGAGCCAGCAUCUUGAACCCACACCAGAAAGUAGAGGAACUAGAAGUCAGAGGUACAGCAUUGGCCAACCUCUGCCUGCCAUCCACUUAUAAGGGCAAGGACACUGGACCUUGCUAUGAGCUCUAUGAUGACAGGCCAAGACAGCUCCACUGAAGCCAGCCAUCCCAAGAGGGUCCUCAUAGCUCCACCACAGUAAAACCUAUGCUACCUCCCAAAGGGUUCACGUGGCUCAUUACCCGGCUCUUGGCCUCAGUCAGUACUCCUAACUGCCUUGACCAUCUCAGCCAUCUCCGUCAAUGGCAAAGUCAAGGCUGGCGGUCCACACUUCCUCAACUCAUGGUGCCUGCGUCCAGAGCUUCACAGUUCCACGGGGAUCAUCUUUGUCUCUGCCAGCAUCACAGCUGUGGCUAUGUAUGCAGUGGGCUUUGCAGAGAUCCUCUUGGGUCAGCUCCAGGUAGGUCGUGCCUAUCCUUUCUCUUUUUGUCCUUUUUUCUCAAGUUUGCUGACUUUGGAAGGUCUAACCCUGCACUGUAGCUCCAGCUUGGGCAAAUCAUUUCAAAAGUCAUACGGAGACAUCGAAUCAGCCAAGAAGCACUCCGUAAUGUCUGUGGAACGUGGGGUGCAGCUGCUGUACAUGGACCCGGAAGAUGAGGUGUGGGGGUGCACGUGGGGAAAUGACUAUCUUCUGGGUGUGGCACCGGCCAGCACACCGUGGGAACCUAAGGCAGCUGCCAGGAAACUGAAGCGGGGAUGAGGAAGCUGAAGGGAGGGUGGUGAGUGGGACCAAACAGCAAUGGCGGAGAUGUGGGGAGCAGCUGCCACCUGAAAAGGCUCAGCCAAGUAUGGAAAGAGCUGAUGUUGCAGGUUUCCAUGGAAAGCAACUUGAAGUCAGAUGGUUUUGUUGGGUGAGGCUCCACACCCCAGCUCAAGAAGAAAGGAAAGAGGCCUUGUUCUGAAGGCCUGGUGGGAUGUGCACCAGGCAAGACUAAGCGGAGGGUAGCGAUGAGAAAUGACACGUACUGCCCUCAGAUGUCUACAGUUUUAAGAUCCGCCUCUGGCGUGAGCAGGAAUACCUUGCAGCUGGAGGGAAGAAAGAAAGGAUGCUCAUUUGGCCAGGACUUCUUCAUGGGAACAGGUUGGUGGAAAGGGAAGGAGAAGGCUAAGAGGAGCAGUAAAAUGGGACAAAGAGAAUUAGUGAGGACUUGGAAGUCACCCCUUUUUCUCCCUCUCACAUUUCCCCCUUCUCUUUUUGUCACCCAUGGUAUUUUAGAACCAA